CCAACCAACCAGUCUACAAAACAAGAAAAACCAAUGCUUAUUUUCCAAGACCGCCUAUUUCCCAAGACCACCACAUCACAGAGAAUAGUCCAAACUAAUCAUCAUAGUAUUGGGGCAAAUUUGAUCCCGAUCUCCCACCUGAUGAUCCACUUCCUCCUCUACCCAUGUUUUGGAGAUUUUCUUGUGAAGCAUUAAAAAUACUAUAGUUUCUUAAAAAAA
RNAcentral lists this long non-coding RNA (219 nucleotides) under Medicago truncatula (barrel medic). RNAcentral's name for it is "long non-coding RNA (MTRU_LNC003095)". The record is from RNAcentral. Lineage: Eukaryota; Viridiplantae; Streptophyta; Magnoliopsida; Fabales; Fabaceae.